This 313-nucleotide long non-coding RNA is filed under the name Nicotiana benthamiana. RNAcentral describes it as "long non-coding RNA (NBEN_LNC017647)". The record is from RNAcentral. Lineage: Eukaryota; Viridiplantae; Streptophyta; Magnoliopsida; Solanales; Solanaceae.
AGGAACAAAAGUAUUCUCCAUUAAAAAAAUUGAGCGAACUAGGACUCACCCAAGAAACUCAUAGUAUUCUCCAAGAAAAACAAAGUUGAGCUUACUUGGACUCACCCAGGAAACACAUAAUAUUCUGCAAUGAAAGCAAAAUUAAGCGGACUAGGACUCACAAACGCUUAGUAUUCUUUAAUGAAAGCAAAAUUCAGAGAAUUAGGGCUCACCCAGGGAACGCACAGUACCCUCCAAAUGAAAGUAAAAUCAAGCAAACUAGAUCUUGCCUCGACGCAUGCAUAUAAAACAUAAUGAAAAAGUAGUGUCCCCC